This 300-nucleotide ribosomal RNA is filed under the name uncultured Sulfuricurvum sp. RNAcentral describes it as "partial 16S ribosomal RNA". It matches the Rfam family "Bacterial small subunit ribosomal RNA", at positions 496 to 795 of the family's 1533-position model. The record is from RNAcentral. Lineage: Bacteria; Pseudomonadati; Campylobacterota; Epsilonproteobacteria; Campylobacterales; Sulfurimonadaceae.
GUUGACGCGGGGGCAGCGGCCAUGGUAAUCUGGUGGUGGGAAGGGGUGAAUGGAAGCAGUGGGGGUAAAGCGCGCGUAGGCGGCCCGGUAAUUCCGCUGUAAAAGUCCAGGGCUCAACCCUGGAAAGCCGGUGGAUACUGGCGGGCUAGAGGCCGGAAGAGGCGAGUGGAAUUCCUGGUGUAGCGGUGGAAUGCGCAGAUAUCAGGAGGAACACCGAUGGCGAAGGCAGCUCGCUGGGACGGUACUGACGCUGAGGCGCGAAAGCGUGGGGAGCGAACAGGAUUAGAUACCCUGGUAGUC